RNAcentral lists this ribosomal RNA (253 nucleotides) under uncultured bacterium. Its description in RNAcentral is "partial 16S ribosomal RNA". It matches the Rfam family "Bacterial small subunit ribosomal RNA", at positions 524 to 776 of the family's 1533-position model. The record is from RNAcentral.
UACGGGGGGGGCAAGCGUUGUUCGGAAUUACUGGGCGUAAAGCGUACGCAGGCGGCUUUGCAAGACAGGUGUGAAAUCCCCGGGCCUAACCUGGGAACUGCAUUUGUGACUGCAUGGCUAGAGUUUGUCAGAGGGGGGUGGAAUUCCACGUGUAGCAGUGAAAUGCGUAGAUAUGUGGAGGAACACCGAUGGCGAAGGCAGCCCCCUGGGAUGUGACUGACGCUCAUGUACGAAAGCGUGGGGAGCAAACAGG